AAGUUAAAAAGCUUAAAUUUAUUUAAAAGACGAGAAGACCCUAUAGAUCUUUAUAUAAAUUUUAAUAAUUUUAUUUAAGAAUAAUUAAUUUAUUAUUAUUAUUUAUAUUUUAUUGGGGUAAUAGAAAGAUUAAAAAAAUUCUUUUUUUAUUUAAACAUUAAUUUAUGAUUAUAUGAUCCAAUAUUUUUGAUUAAAAGAUUAAGUUACCUUAGGGAUAACAGCGUAAUUUUUUUAGAGAGUUCAUAUCGAUAAAAAAGUUUGCGACCUCNAUGUUGGAUUAAAAAUUAUCUUAGGUGCAGAAGUUUAAGAUUUUGGUCUGUUCGACCAUUAAAUUUUUACAUGAUCUGAGUUCAGACCGGCGUAAGCCAGGUCGGUUUCUAUCUUUAAUAAAUUAUAAUAUUUUAGUACGAAAGGACCAAAUAUUUAAUAUAUUUAUAUUUAAUUUUUUGAAUAUUAUUAGUUACUUUGGCAGAAUAGUGUAAUGAAUUUAGAAUUCAUAAAUGUAAAUUUUUUACAAGUAAUAUUGUUUUAUAUAGAUUUAAUAUUUUCUUUAAUUUGUAUUUUAUUGUUAGUAAUUUGUGUAUUAGUUGGGGUAGCUUUUUUAACUUUAUUAGA
Molecule: ribosomal RNA, 615 nt
Filed under: Rhantus phocaenarum
Lineage: Eukaryota; Metazoa; Arthropoda; Insecta; Coleoptera; Dytiscidae
Description: partial 16S ribosomal RNA
Rfam family: Bacterial large subunit ribosomal RNA (bases 214-372)
Source: RNAcentral